Molecule: transfer RNA, 72 nt
Filed under: Rhipicephalus microplus (southern cattle tick)
Lineage: Eukaryota; Metazoa; Arthropoda; Arachnida; Ixodida; Ixodidae
Description: tRNA-Glu
Rfam family: tRNA
About the family: Transfer RNA (tRNA) molecules are approximately 80 nucleotides in length. Their secondary structure includes four short double-helical elements and three loops (D, anti-codon, and T loops).
Source: Rfam by way of RNAcentral
UCCGGCGUGGUCUAGUGGCUAGGAUAUCUGGCUUUCACCGAGAAGGCCCGGGUUCAAUUUCCGGCGUCGGAA